CACUAAUUACCUCACUAAUCCUAACAAUCAUACUAUCACUAGGAGGCCUACCUCCCCUCUCAGGAUUCAUCUGUAAAUGAAUAAUCAUCCAUGAACUCAUAAAAAAACACAUAGCCUCCAUAGCA
Lutra lutra (Eurasian river otter) is the source of this 125-nucleotide long non-coding RNA. RefSeq lists it as uncharacterized. The record is from RefSeq and is a predicted model, not a curated record. The transcript has 3 exons. Lineage: Eukaryota; Metazoa; Chordata; Mammalia; Carnivora; Mustelidae.